Molecule: ribosomal RNA, 491 nt
Filed under: uncultured bacterium
Lineage: Bacteria
Description: partial 16S ribosomal RNA
Rfam family: Bacterial small subunit ribosomal RNA
Source: RNAcentral
GUGCACGCUGGCGGUAGGCCUAACCCAUGCAAGUCGCACGGCAGCACAGUAAGAGCUUGCUCUUACGGGUGGCGAGUGGCGGACGGGUGAGGAAUACAUCGGAAUCUACUUUUUCGUGGGGGAUAACGUAGGGAAACUUACGCUAAUACCGCAUACGACCUACGGGUGAAAGCAGGGGAUCUUCGGACCUUGCGCGAUUGAAUGAGCCGAUGUCGGAUUAGCUAGUUGGCGGGGUAAAGGCCCACCAAGGCGACGAUCCGUAGCUGGUCUGAGAGGAUGAUCAGCCACACUGGAACUGAGACACGGUCCAGACUCCUACGGGAGGCAGCAGUGGGGAAUAUUGGACAAUGGGCGCAAGCCUGAUCCAGCCAUACCGCGUGGGUGAAGAAGGCCUUCGGGUUGUAAAGCCCUUUUGUUGGGGAAGAAAAGCAGCAGGUUAAUACCCCGCUGUUCUGACGGUACCCAAAGAAUAAGCACCGGCUAACUUCGUG